GGGGUUGUGGCUCAGUGGAAAAGUUUCUGCUUGGGAUGCAGAAGAUCCCAGGUUCAAUCCUAGGCAUCUUAG
Molecule: transfer RNA, 72 nt
Filed under: Sphaerodactylus townsendi
Lineage: Eukaryota; Metazoa; Chordata; Lepidosauria; Squamata; Sphaerodactylidae
Description: tRNA-Pro
Rfam family: tRNA
About the family: Transfer RNA (tRNA) molecules are approximately 80 nucleotides in length. Their secondary structure includes four short double-helical elements and three loops (D, anti-codon, and T loops).
Source: RNAcentral